This 1199-nucleotide long non-coding RNA is filed under the name Equus asinus (donkey). Its description in RNAcentral is "lncRNA (ENSEASG00005036543.1)". Lineage: Eukaryota; Metazoa; Chordata; Mammalia; Perissodactyla; Equidae. The record is from RNAcentral.
AAUUUAGUCAUUCUUUAUGUUUUUUUUCAGUCAUUGCCUUUCCCUGACUCUGAAGUGAGCAGCAAUAAACAACCUUUACUUCUGGUAUUGACACUAGUUCUGACUAAGGUGGUCUUUUUGCUGUGCUUGACUUUCACUUCAGAAGCAAUUCUGGCUGAUUUUUAAUGGUUCGUUAACACCCCAAAGUAACAUUCUGUGUUUGGCUCUUACAGAAAGCACGAAUAGGACUUAGCAGAGAAAUGUUUAAGUUGUUUCCAUAUCUUGGCUAUGGUGAAUAAUGCCACAAUAAACAUGGGAGUGAAGAUAUCUCUUCAAGAUUCUGCAAGAUUCUCUUCCAGCUCAAGUGAGAUCGUUUGGAUGAAGUCCCUCCCCAAAAACCACUGGUUUGUCCAGUUCAUUGCAAAAGCUCAAGUUUACUUUUUUACUUGAUACAUUAUGAAGUUACUUUAAAGAAGAUUAAAAAAUAAAGCGAAGAUUGAUGCAAGUAAUGAUGAUUUUGUGACCAAGUAUUUUCUACAAAUGUUUCAUCAAGGAAUAAAACAAGCAAACAAUAUAUUUCUCUCUAGACUUCAAAUGCUAAAACUAAUGGCUUUUGUAAGAAUAUAUUUCAGAUUUAAUUCUAGUGAUCAUAUCAAAAGCAUGCUAUCAAGCUUUUACCUUUACCAGAGAGGGCUGAACUCAAAGGAUUCACUUCCAAACGUGAACAAAAUAACAAAAGCCUUAAACAAGCAUUUGACAUUUGUAAAAGAAGAAGCAAGACUACAAUUCAUCUAUUCAAUUGCUCAAUAAGCAUUUAUCAAGGACGUAAUAUGCACUUGGAUGGGUUUGUUAGAGAGUUCCUGACUUUGAAUGUUACCUGGGUCCGUUUUAACUUGUAACAUUUUACAAUGGCAAAGAGAAAAACAACUCUCACCCUGUAGAAUUUUCAUUGUGUGCUUCUUUCUUUCUUGAUUUCCCUGCUCUCACUAAAUUCUAGACAUUUUUCAGGAUGCGUUUCUGAGUGCUCCUCUUCUGGAAGGACUAUGUAGUCUAACAUUCUGUGGCAGAUGCUGUGGGUUGACUCAUCCAACAGCACCCUCCUCAUUGCCUUUCUAUUCUAUAGAGGCCUCAAAGAGGAAUACUGGAAUAGUCAGUUUCCCUUACAGCUAGAAGUGGUGAUGUGGCAAAGUGAGGACUAAUGAGAUAUAGAGGAAAGUCAC